RNAcentral lists this ribosomal RNA (114 nucleotides) under Microascus gracilis. RNAcentral's name for it is "partial 5.8S ribosomal RNA". It matches the Rfam family "5.8S ribosomal RNA", at positions 41 to 154 of the family's 154-position model. Rfam says of the family: 5.8S ribosomal RNA (5.8S rRNA) is a component of the large subunit of the eukaryotic ribosome. It is transcribed by RNA polymerase I as part of the 45S precursor that also contains 18S and 28S rRNA. Lineage: Eukaryota; Fungi; Ascomycota; Sordariomycetes; Microascales; Microascaceae. The record is from RNAcentral.
GAACGCAGCGAAAUGCGAUAAGUAAUGCGAAUUGCAGAAUUCAGUGAAUCAUCGAAUCUUUGAACGCACAUUGCGCCCGGCAGCAAUCUGCCGGGCAUGCCUGUCCGAGCGUCA